This 246-nucleotide ribosomal RNA is filed under the name uncultured bacterium. RNAcentral describes it as "partial 16S ribosomal RNA". It matches the Rfam family "Bacterial small subunit ribosomal RNA", at positions 87 to 334 of the family's 1533-position model. The record is from RNAcentral.
UAUGGCGACCGGCGCACGGGUGAGUAACACGUAUCCAACCUGCCGAUGACUCGGGGAUAGCCUUUCGAAAGAAAGAUUAAUACCCGAUGGCAUAGUUCUUCCGCAUGGUAGAACUAUUAAAGAAUUUCGGUCAUCGAUGGGGAUGCGUUCCAUCAGGUUGUUGGCGGGGUAACGGCCCACCAAGCCUUCGAUGGAUAGGGGUUCUGAGAGGAAGGUCCCCCACAUUGGAACUGAGACACGGUCCAA